Long non-coding RNA from Dermacentor andersoni, 2143 nucleotides. RefSeq lists it as uncharacterized. The record is from RefSeq and is a predicted model, not a curated record. Lineage: Eukaryota; Metazoa; Arthropoda; Arachnida; Ixodida; Ixodidae.
CACAAGCACGGCGCAAUCAGGCACCGCUCUCGAUCCAGAGGGCGCUCGGUGUCCAGCGUGAGGACCCAGGAGCAGUCUACGUGGGCGUAUCCUGUCAAAGGGAAGACGAAGAAGGAGCAAGGGAGACCGACGGAGGACAUUCUACUUCAGCUUAAAGAAGAAGUCAUCGACUGCUCAGCACAUGCCACAAGAGUGCCAUCCUGGCACUUGACGUGAGGGGAGCCUUCGACAACGUCUCACACGAAGCAGUGCUAAACAGCCUACAACAUACCAACUGCGGACGGCGGACAUACAACUACGUGUGGGACUUCCUGACGGGUAGAACGGCGACCAUAGGCCUGCGGAACCUCAGGACCGAGAAGUUCCAAAUACCGCAGAAAGGAACCCCCCAGGGGUCGGUGAUCUCCCCGUUGCUGUUCAAUAUAGCGAUGAGGGAAUUGCCGAAUCUCUUGGAGAACAUAAGGGGUAUCCGUCACGCAAUGUAUGCAGACGACCUGGCCAUGGUAACGUGCACGGGAUCGGUGGGCGAACAACAAGACGCCCUGCAGGAAGCCAUCGACAGGACCGAGCAAUAUCUACACCGCUGAGGUCUUUCAUGCGCGCCGGAAAAAUUGGAGCUCCUGAUCCUCAAAAAGAGGACAAGACGGCGGCCUCCGCAGGAGACACCUGACCCAACGUUGACACUACAUGGAGUCAACAUACCCAAGGUGGACACGCUCUGUAUUCUGGGCUUCACUUUCCAGAAGGACGGUGCUGGUCUCGCCACCAUUAAAAAACUGCAAGCGACAGUUACCCAAGUCGCGCACUUGGUGCGAAGAGUGACAAACAAAAAGCACGGCCUGAAAGAGCAGGACACAAUCAGAUUAAUACCAGCCCUGAUAAUCAGCACAGUCACUUAUGGCACCCCGUACCUGGGUCUCGAGAACAUCCAGAGAGACUAAUGAACACCCUAAUACGAAAGACCUACAAGCUAGCACUGGGGCUUCCACCGACGACGUCGACGGAGAAGCUACUCAGACUGGGCAUCCACAAUACUUGGGAGGAAUUAGUAGAGGCGCACAAGACGAGCCAGAUAGAGCGAAUCAAGCUCACCAGCACGGGUAGGGACACGAUAAUAAGACUGGGCUACCCAGUCGAAUAUGAGUCCACAAAACAGCGGGUUCCUCUACCCAUGAGGGAGAAGAUCACGGUGGCCAGCUGCCGAGAAACAUGCACCCUGAAUACCACAGAGAAAGGAGGCGAGCGAGAGUGAAAGCUCUACGUGAGGCCUACGAAGGACCAAAACAAGGAGAAGUACGAUACACCGACGCGGCAAAGUACAAGAACAGAGCGGCCCACGCUAUUUAGCGUUAUCACCGGCCAAGGACAAGAGGUAGCAGCGGCCUCGGUAAGCACUCCAAACAUCCACUGCGCGGAAGAAACGAGGAUAGCCCUGGCGGCCACUACGGGCCAGCGAGAGGAAGAUCAAAUCAAUAGCAUCACCGACUCACAAACAGGAUGUAGAAAUUACUAAAAGGGCCGCAUUUCCAAACAAGCCCUGAGCAUCCUCGAACAACGAGAAAAGUUUCCAGAACUGUACAAUGUCUGGGCCCCGGGACACGAGUCCUUGGCGGGUAAUGUAGCGGCUAAUGCCGCUCCCCGAGAUUACAUUCUCCGGGCUUUCCCACCAGGUUCACGAGAACCGGUAGACCAACAAGAUAGCGACCCGAAAAGAUACGCCGAUAUCCUGAGCCACUACAGACUGGGUAGGAGGAUCUAUCCACCCCCGCAUCCCAAGCUGACAAGAGAAGAGGCGGUGAUCUUCCGAAAACUACAGACCGGCACAUUCCCGCACGGCACCCUGCUACACGCCAUGCAUCCUACGAGCUGUACUCACAAAUGCGCAUUCUGCUCUACGCCCAAUACCCUCUACCACAUGGUAUGGGAAUGUCAACAAAACCCAUCGACACCGCCCAUCACCAGACCAACCGUCGAGCAGUGGGAGGCCCAACUGACAAGCUCGAGCCCUGAAGACCAGCAUCGUUUGGUGAGCAGGGCCAAGCUAUCGGCUCAGGCCUACGGCAUCCUGGACUAGGGACGCCGCCCACCUCGGACUAUUUUAGCGUCGGCUCAUUUCUACUAAUAAAGUUUAUUCCUCCUUCUC